CGCUUAACACAUGCAAGUCGAACGCGAAAAGGGGGCAACCCCCCAGUAGAGUGGCGCACGGGUGAGUAACACGUGGGUAAUCUCCCUUCGAGACUGGAAUAACCCGCCGAAAGGCGGGCUAAUACCGGAUAAGACCACGGGGCAUAAGUCCUGAGGUUGAAGGCGGGUAGCAAUACCUGUCACUCGUCGAUGAGCCCGCGUCCCAUCAGCUAGUUGGUGAGGUAAAAGCUCACCAAGGCAAAGACGGGUAGCUGGUCUGAGAGGACGAUCAGCCACACUGGCACUGAAACACGGGCCAGACUCCUACGGGAGGCAGCAGUGGGGAAUUUUGCGCAAUGGGCGAAAGCCUGACGCAGCGACGCCGCGUGAGGGAAGAAGGUCUUCGGAUCGUAAACCUC
This 398-nucleotide ribosomal RNA is filed under the name uncultured organism. RNAcentral's name for it is "bacterial SSU rRNA". It matches the Rfam family "Bacterial small subunit ribosomal RNA", at positions 45 to 433 of the family's 1533-position model. The record is from RNAcentral.